GACGAACGCUGGCGGCGUGCUUAGCACAUGCAAGUCGAACGGAAAGGCCCUGCUUUUGUGGGGUGCUCGAGUGGCGAACGGGUGAGUAACACGUGAGUAACCUGCCCUUGAUUUUGGGAUAACUUCAGGAAACUGGGGCUAAUACCGGAUAGGAGCUCCUGCUGCAUGGUGGGGGUUGGAAAGUUUCGGCGGUUGGGGAUGGACUCGCGGCUUAUCAGCUUGUUGGUGGGGUAGUGGCUUACCAAGGCUUUGACGGGUAGCCGGCCUGAGAGGGUGACCGGCCACAUUGGGACUGAGAUACGGCCCAGACUCCUACGGGAGGCAGCAGUGGGGAAUAUUGCACAAUGGGCGGAAGCCUGAUGCAGCAACGCCGCGUGCGGGAUGACGGCCUUCGGGUUGUAAACCGCUUUCGCCUGUGACGAAGCGUGAGUGACGGUAAUGGGUAAAGAAGCACCGGCUAACUACGUG
RNAcentral lists this ribosomal RNA (468 nucleotides) under uncultured bacterium. Its description in RNAcentral is "partial 16S ribosomal RNA". It matches the Rfam family "Bacterial small subunit ribosomal RNA", at positions 28 to 507 of the family's 1533-position model. The record is from RNAcentral.